UACGGGGGGGGCAAGCGUUGUUCGGAUUUACUGGGCGUAAAGGGCGCGUAGGUGGCCUUCUAAGUUGAACGUGAAAUCCCUGGGCUCAACCCAGGAACUGCGUCCAAGACUGGGAGGCUUGAAUCCGGGAGAGGGAUGCGGAAUUCCAGGUGUAGCGGUGAAAUGCGUAGAUAUCUGGAGGAACACCGGUGGCGAAGGCGGCAUCCUGGACCGGUAUUGACACUGAGGCGCGAAAGCCAGGGGAGCAAACGGG
Molecule: ribosomal RNA, 253 nt
Filed under: uncultured bacterium
Lineage: Bacteria
Description: partial 16S ribosomal RNA
Rfam family: Bacterial small subunit ribosomal RNA
Source: RNAcentral